RNAcentral lists this ribosomal RNA (433 nucleotides) under uncultured bacterium. RNAcentral describes it as "partial 16S ribosomal RNA". It matches the Rfam family "Bacterial small subunit ribosomal RNA", at positions 29 to 507 of the family's 1533-position model. The record is from RNAcentral.
AGCGAACGCUGGCGGCAGGCUUAACACAUGCAAGUCGAACGGGCACUUCGGUGCUAGUGGCAGACGGGUGAGUAACACGUGGGAACGUACCUUUCGGUUCGGAAUAAUCCAGGGAAACUUGGACUAAUACCGGAUACGCCCUUCGGGGGAAGGAUUCAUCGCCGAUAGAUCGGCCCGCGUCUGAUUAGCUAGUUGUGGAGGUAAUGGCUCACCAAGGCGACGAUCAGUAGCUGGUCUGAGAGGAUGAUCAGCCACAUUGGGACUGAGACACGGCCCAAACUCUUACGGGAGGCAGCAGUGGGGAAUAUUGGACAAUGGGCGCAAGCCUGAUCCAGCCAUGCCGCGUGAGUGAUGAAGGCCUUAGGGUUGUAAAGCUCUUUUGUCCGGGAAGAUAAUGACUGUACCGGAAGAAUAAGCCCCGGCUAACUUCGUG